Molecule: ribosomal RNA, 430 nt
Filed under: uncultured bacterium
Lineage: Bacteria
Description: bacterial SSU rRNA
Rfam family: Bacterial small subunit ribosomal RNA
Source: RNAcentral
UGGGGAAUUGUUCGCAAUGGGCGCAAGCCUGACGACGCAACGCCGCGUGGAGGAUGAAGAUCUUCGGAUCGUAAACUCCUGUCGAGCGGGACGAACGGCCCGCGGCCGAAUACGCCGCGGGAGUGACGGUACCGCUAAAGGAAGCCCCGGCUAACUCCGUGCCAGCAGCCGCGGUAAUACGGGGGGGGCAAGCGUUGUUCGGAAUUACUGGGCGUAAAGGGCUCGUAGGCGGCCAACUAAGUCGGACGUGAAAUCCCUCGGCUCAACCGGGGAACUGCGUCCGAUACUGGAUGGCUUGAAUCCGGGAGAGGGAUGCGGAAUUCCAGGUGUAGCGGUGAAAUGCGUAGAUAUCUGGAGGAACACCGGUGGCGAAGGCGGCAUCCUGGACCGGUAUUGACGCUGAGGAGCGAAAGCCAGGGUAGCAAACGGG